Molecule: small nuclear RNA, 18 nt
Filed under: Arabidopsis thaliana (thale cress)
Lineage: Eukaryota; Viridiplantae; Streptophyta; Magnoliopsida; Brassicales; Brassicaceae
Description: snRNA_13692
Source: RNAcentral
AUGCGGUGAAGCAACUCA